Molecule: long non-coding RNA, 1568 nt
Filed under: Salmo salar (Atlantic salmon)
Lineage: Eukaryota; Metazoa; Chordata; Actinopteri; Salmoniformes; Salmonidae
Description: lncRNA (ENSSSAG00000102555.1)
Source: RNAcentral
GUCAUUUACAGGGCUUGACAAUCACUGGUCAUUUACAGGGCUUGACAAUCACUGGUCAUUUACAGGGCUUGACAAUCACUGGUCAUUUACAGGGCUUGACAAUCACUGGUCAUUUACAGGGCUUGACAAUCACUAGUCAUUUACAGGGCUUGACAAUCACUGGUCAUUUACAGGGCUUGACAAUCACUGGUCAUUUACAGGGCUUGACAAUCACUGGUCAUUUACAGGGCUUGACAAUCACUAGUCAUUUACAGGGCUUGACAAUCACUGGUCAUUUACAGGGCUUGACAAUCACUGGUCAUUUACAGGGCUUGACAAUCACUGGUCAUUUACAGGGCUUGACAAUCACUGGUCAUUUACAGGGCUUGACAAUCACUGGUCAUUUACAGGGCUUGACAAUCACUAGUCAUUUACAGGGCUUGACAAUCACUGGUCAUUUACAGGGCUUGACAAUCACUGGUCAUUUACAGGGCUUGACAAUCACUGGUCAUUUACAGGGCUUGACAAUCACUGGUCAUUUACAGGGCUUGACAAUCACUGGUCAUUUACAGGGCCUGACAAUCACUGGUCAUUUACAGGGCUUGACAAUCACUGGUCAUUUACAGGGCUUGACAAUCACUGGUCAUAUACAGGGCUUGACAAUCACUGGUCAUUUACAGGGCUUGACAAUCACUGGUCAUUUACAGGGCUUGACAAUCACUGGUCAUUUACAGGGCCUGACAAUCACUGGUCAUUUACAGGGCUUGACAAUCACUGGUCAUUUACAGGGCUUGACAAUCACUGGUCAUUUACAGGGCCUGACAAUCACUGGUCAUUUACAGGGCUUGACAAUCACUGGUCAUUUACAGGGCUUGACAAUCACUAGUCAUUUACAGGGCUUGACAAUCACUGGUCAUUUACAGGGCUUGACAAUCACUGGUCAUUUACAGGGCUUGACAAUCACUGGUCAUUUACAGAGCCUGACAAUCACUGGUCAUUUACAGGGCUUGACAAUCACUGGUCAUUUACAGGGCUUGACAAUCACUGGUCAUUUACAGGGCUUGACAAUCACUUGUUCAGACAGCAGGACAGAUAUGAUGCUAUAUAUUUUACAGACAGAAUUGUAUGUUGCACUCUGUCUAUUGGCUUCUUUUCAUAUUCAAACCUGUCUGAAAAUACAACACUGCCCCUUUAUAAGGCUCUGCUGGUGUAUGGUUGGCCACCUGUUGGUAGCCUAUAAAAUAUUGCAACAAUACAAUUACAAACAAAUACUUUUUAUACCUUUUUUCAAAAAUAAUUCCCUAGCAUCGGCUGCUGUCUUUGCUCCCCCCCCUCCCGAGCAGUAGUUUACAGAAGUGUGGAGAGAAGCGGACUUGAAACCGUUAACAGAACACACAUCUUACAGCAAAACAAACCUUGUCAGUCUCUCAGGACCUAAACAACCAGUCCACCAGUAGGCAGUCCCUCAGCAGCUGGGGUUGCUGUGAUACCUUGUACAUAGACUGCUUACAGGGUAAGGAGACCUAUGUCAUUUGGGUGAACUAUCCCUUUAACAUUUCGAUUUUUUAAACCUAAACCUUAACCCUAAC